This 409-nucleotide ribosomal RNA is filed under the name uncultured bacterium. RNAcentral describes it as "bacterial SSU rRNA". It matches the Rfam family "Bacterial small subunit ribosomal RNA", at positions 358 to 773 of the family's 1533-position model. The record is from RNAcentral.
AGGAUCUUCGGCAAUGGGCGCAAGCCUGACCGAGCGACGCCGCGUGAGCGAUGAAGGCCUUCGGGUUGUAAAGCUCUUUAGUGGGGGAGAAAAGCCCGCAAGGGUGUGAUCUAUCCCAAAAAUAAGCACGGGCUAAGUUCGUGCCAGCAGCCGCGGUAAGACGAACCGUGCGAACGUUGUUCGGAAUAACUGGGCUUAAAGGGAGCGUAGGCGGGCUAUCAAGUCUGGGGUGAAAUCCCACGGCUCAACCGUGGAACUGCCUUAGAUACUGACGGCCUCGAGGGAGAUAGGGGCAUGCGGAACUGUAGGUGGAGCGGUGAAAUGCGUUGAUAUCUACAGGAACUCCGGUGGCGAAAGCGGCGUGCUGGAUCUCUUCUGACGCUGAGGCUCGAAAGCUAGGGGAGCAAAC